AACGCGAAGAACCUUACCCAGGUUUGACAUACAGAGGAAGACAGUAGAAAUAUUGUUGCCCGCGAGGGUCUCUGAACAGGUGCUGCAUGGCUGUCGUCAGCUCGUGCCGUGAGGUGUUGGGUUAAGUCCCGCAACGAGCGCAACCCUUAUCACUAGUUGCCAGCACGUUAUGGUGGGAACUCUAGUGAGACUGUCCGGGUUAACCGGGAGGAAGGUGAGGAUGACGUCAAGUCCGCAUGGCCCUUAUAUCUGGGGCUACACACGUGCUACWAUGGUCGGUACAGAGGGUUGCCAAGCCGCGAGGUGGAGCUAAUCCCACAAAACCGAUCGUAGUCCGGAUCGCAGUCUGCAACUCGACUGCGUGAAGUCGGAAUCGCUAGUAAUCGCGAAUCAGAAUGUCGCGGUGAAUACGUUCCCGGGUCUUGUACACACCGCCC
RNAcentral lists this ribosomal RNA (437 nucleotides) under uncultured bacterium. RNAcentral's name for it is "bacterial SSU rRNA". It matches the Rfam family "Bacterial small subunit ribosomal RNA", at positions 958 to 1395 of the family's 1533-position model. The record is from RNAcentral.